UGAGUAACACGUGGGCAAUCUGCCCUGCACUUCGGGAUAAGCCUGGGAAACUGGGUCUAAUACCGGAUAGGACCUUUAGGCGCAUGCCUUUUGGUGGAAAGCUUUUGCGGUGUGGGAUGGGCCCGCGGCCUAUCAGCUUGUUGGUGGGGUGAUGGCCUACCAAGGCGACGACGGGUAGCCGGCCUGAGAGGGUGUCCGGCCACACUGGGACUGAGAUACGGCCCAGACUCCUACGGGAGGCAGCAGUGGGGAAUAUUGCACAAUGGGCGCAAGCCUGAUGCAGCGACGCCGCGUGGGGGAUGACGGCCUUCGGGUUGUAAACCUCUUUCACCAUCGACGAAGGUCCGGGUUUUCUCGGAUUGACGGUAGGUGGAGAAGAAGCACCGGCCAACUACGUGCCAGCAGCCGCGGUAAUACGUAGGGUGCGAGCGUUGUCCGGAAUUACUGGGCGUAAAGAGCUCGUAGGUGGUUUGUCGCGUUGUUCGUGAAAUCUCACGGCUUAACUGUGAGCGUGCGGGCGAUACGGGCAGACUAGAGUACUGCAGGGGAGACUGGAAUUCCUGGUGUAGCGGUGGAAUGCGCAGAUAUCAGGAGGAACACCGGUGGCGAAGGCGGGUCUCUGGGCAGUAACUGACGCUGAGGAGCGAAAGCGUGGGGAGCGAACAGGAUUAGAUACCCUGGUAGUCCACGCCGUAAACGGUGGGUACUAGGUGUGGGUUUCCUUCCUUGGGAUCCGUGCCGUAGCUAACGCAUUAAGUACCCCGCCUGGGGAGUACGGCCGCAAGGCUAAAACUCAAAGGAAUUGACGGGGGGCCCGCACAA
RNAcentral lists this ribosomal RNA (822 nucleotides) under Mycobacterium sp. Its description in RNAcentral is "bacterial SSU rRNA". It matches the Rfam family "Bacterial small subunit ribosomal RNA", at positions 107 to 928 of the family's 1533-position model. Lineage: Bacteria; Bacillati; Actinomycetota; Actinomycetes; Mycobacteriales; Mycobacteriaceae. The record is from RNAcentral.